CGGGACACGUGGUAUCCUGUCUGAAUAUGGGGGGACCAUCCUCCAAGGCUAAAUACUCCUGACUGACCGAUAGUGAACCAGUACCGUGAGGGAAAGGCGAAAAGAACCCCGGCGAGGGGAGUGAAAAAGAACCUGAAACCGUGUACGUACAAGCAGUGGGAGCACAGAGCAAUCUGUGUGACUGCGUACCUUUUGUAUAAUGGGUCAGCGACUUAUAUUCUGUAGCAAGGUUAACCGAAUAGGGGAGCCGAAGGGAAACCGAGUCUUAACCGGGCGUUAAGUUGCAGGGUAUAGACCCGAAACCCGGUGAUCUAGCCAUGGGCAGGUUGAAGGUUGGGUAACACUAACUGGAGGACCGAACCGACUAAUGUUGAAAAAUUAGCGGAUGACUUGUGGCUGGGGGUGAAAGGCCAAUCAAACCGGGAGAUAGCUGGUUCUCCCCGAAAGCUAUUUAGGUAGCGCCUCGUGAAUUCAUCUCCGGGGGUAGAGCACUGUUUCGGCAAGGGGGUCAUCCCGACUUACCAACCCGAUGCAAACUGCGAAUACCGGAGAAUGUUAUCACGGGAGACACACGGCGGGUGCUAACGUCCGUCGUGAAGAGGGAAACAACCCAGACCGCCAGCUAAGGUCCCAAAGUCAUGGUUAAGUGGGAAACGAUGUGGGAAGGCCCAGACAGCCAGGAUGUUGGCUUAGAAGCAGCCAUCAUUUAAAGAAAGCGUAAUAGCUCACUGGUCGAGUCGGCCUGCGCGGAAGAUGUAACGGGGCUAAACCAUGCACCGAAGCUGCGGCAGCGACACUGUGUGUUGUUGGGUAGGGGAGCGUUCUGUAAGCCUGUGAAGGUGUGCUGUGAGGCAUGCUGGAGGUAUCAGAAGUGCGAAUGCUGACAUAAGUAACGAUAAAGCGGGUGAAAAGCCCGCUCGCCGGAAGACCAAGGGUUCCUGUCCAACGUUAAUCGGGGCAGGGUGAGUCGACCCCUAAGGCGAGGCCGAAAGGCGUAGUCGAUGGGAAACAGGUUAAUAUUCCUGUACUUGGUGUUACUGCGAAGGGGGGACGGAGAAGGCUAUGUUGGCCGGGCGACGGUUGUCCCGGUUUAAGCGUGUAGGCUGGUUUUCCAGGCAAAUCCGGAAAAUCAAGGCUGAGGCGUGAUGACGAGGCACUACGGUGCUGAAGCAACAAAUGCCCUGCUUCCAGGAAAAGCCUCUAAGCAUCAGGUAACAUCAAAUCGUACCCCAAACCGACACAGGUGGUCAGGUAGAGAAUACCAAGGCGCUUGAGAGAACUCGGGUGAAGGAACUAGGCAAAAUGGUGCCGUAACUUCGGGAGAAGGCACGCUGAUAUGUAGGUGAAGUCCCUCGCGGAUGGAGCUGAAAUCAGUCGAAGAUACCAGCUGGCUGCAACUGUUUAUUAAAAACACAGCACUGUGCAAACACGAAAGUGGACGUAUACGGUGUGACGCCUGCCCGGUGCCGGAAGGUUAAUUGAUGGGGUCAGCGCAAGCGAAGCUCUUGAUCGAAGCCCCGGUAAACGGCGGCCGUAACUAUAACGGUCCUAAGGUAGCGAAAUUCCUUGUCGGGUAAGUUCCGACCUGCACGAAUGGCGUAAUGAUGGCCAGGCUGUCUCCACCCGAGACUCAGUGAAAUUGAACUCGCUGUGAAGAUGCAGUGUACCCGCGGCAAGACGGAAAGACCCCGUGAACCUUUACUAUAGCUUGACACUGAACAUUGAGCCUUGAUGUGUAGGAUAGGUGGGAGGCUUUGAAGUGUGGACGCCAGUCUGCAUGGAGCCGACCUUGAAAUACCACCCUUUAAUGUUUGAUGUUCUAACGUGGACCCGUGAUCCGGGUUGCGGACAGUGUCUGGUGGGUAGUUUGACUGGGGCGGUCUCCUCCUAAAGAGUAACGGAGGAGCACGAAGGUUGGCUAAUCCUGGUCGGACAUCAGGAGGUUAGUGCAA
Molecule: ribosomal RNA, 1952 nt
Filed under: Escherichia coli
Lineage: Bacteria; Pseudomonadati; Pseudomonadota; Gammaproteobacteria; Enterobacterales; Enterobacteriaceae
Description: partial 23S ribosomal RNA
Rfam family: Bacterial large subunit ribosomal RNA
Source: RNAcentral